RNAcentral lists this ribosomal RNA (465 nucleotides) under Leuciscus leuciscus (common dace). RNAcentral's name for it is "partial 16S ribosomal RNA". It matches the Rfam family "Bacterial large subunit ribosomal RNA", at positions 1990 to 2606 of the family's 2925-position model. Lineage: Eukaryota; Metazoa; Chordata; Actinopteri; Cypriniformes; Leuciscidae. The record is from RNAcentral.
GUAUGAAUGGCUAGACGAGGGCUUAACUGUCUCCCCCUUCCAGUCAGUGAAAUUGAUCUAUCCGUGCAGAAGCGGGUGUAAUUAUACAAGACGAGAAGACCCUUUGGAGCUUAAGGUACAAAGUUCAACCACGUUAAACGACUCCACAGAAAGCAAGAACUUAGUGGCAAAUGAAACUUUACCUUCGGUUGGGGCGACCACGGAGGAGAAGAGAGCCUCCGAGUGGACUGGGCUAAAUCCCCAAAGCCAAGAGAUACAUCUAUAAGCCGCAGAACAUCUGACCAAAAAUGAUCCGACUGAAAAGCCGAUCAACGAACCAAGUUACCCUAGGGAUAACAGCGCAAUCCUCUCCCAGAGUCCAUAUCGACGAGGGGGUUUACGACCUCGAUGUUGGAUCAGGACAUCCUAAUGGUGCAGCCGCUAUUAAGGGUUCGUUUGUUCAACGAUUAAAGUCCUACGUGAUCU